This 135-nucleotide ribosomal RNA is filed under the name Actinomycetes bacterium. RNAcentral's name for it is "Actinobacteria bacterium partial 16S ribosomal RNA". It matches the Rfam family "Bacterial small subunit ribosomal RNA", at positions 1 to 127 of the family's 1533-position model. The record is from RNAcentral. Lineage: Bacteria; Bacillati; Actinomycetota; Actinomycetes.
UUCGAUGGAGGGUUUGAUCCUGGCUCAGGACGAACGCUGGCGGCGUGCUUAAUACAUGCAAGUCGAGCGAUCGGACGAGGGAGCUUGCUCCCUCGUUACGGAGCGGCGAACGGGUGAGUAACACGUGAGCAACCU